RNAcentral lists this ribosomal RNA (1683 nucleotides) under bacterium. RNAcentral's name for it is "bacterial SSU rRNA". It matches the Rfam family "Bacterial small subunit ribosomal RNA", at positions 9 to 873 of the family's 1533-position model. The record is from RNAcentral.
GGAUUUGAUCCUGGUCCAGGAUGAACGCUGGCGGUGUGGAUAAGGCAUGCAAGUCGAACGCAUCAGUGCGGAGCACUGAUACGCUGAUGGUCGCGGAUGAUACGCUGAUGGUCGCGGAUAUUUAAUUUGUAUCUGCGAAAAUCUGCGUCAUAUCUGCGUUUAUCGGCGUACCAGCGCUCUGCGCUGGUGAGUGGCGAACGAGUUAGUAACACCCUGGUACGUACCCCGAAGACGGAGAUAGUCCGCCGAAAGGCGGAGUAAUAACCGAUAGUAUGGAAACAUUAAAGGCGCAAGCCACUUUGGGAUCGGCCUAGGUCUGAUCAGCUAGUUGGUAGGGUAACGGCCUACCAAGGCUACGACCAGUAGGGGAGGUGAGAGCCUGACCCCCAACGACGGAACUGAGAUACGGUCCGUACUCCUACGGGAGGCAGCAGUCGAGAAUAUUCGUCAAUGGGCGAAAGCCUGAACGAGCGACACCGCGUGCAGGAAGAAGCUUUUCGGAGUGUAAACUGCGGUAAUAUGGUAACAAUGAAAAUGAGUGCCAUAUGGAAAGAGGUGGGUAACUACGUGCCAGCACCAGCGGUAAUACGUAGACCUCAAGCGUUAUCCGGAUUUAUUGGGCGUAAAGAGCAUGUAGGUGGUCCUUCAAGUCUUUUGUAAAAGGCCGCCGCCUAACGGCGGUUUCGCAAGGGAUACUGUUGGACUGGAGGAGAUAAGAGGCUGACGGAACACAUGGUGUAGGGGUGAAAUCCGUUGAUAUCAUGUGGAACACCAAAGGCGAAGGCAGUCAGCUGGGAUCUUCCUGACACUGAGAUGCGAAAGCGUGGGGAGCAAAAAGGAUUGCGUUGGUGUUUGCAGAUUUUUGGAAUCGGUAUCGAUUUUCUCCUGCGGAAAAUCGUGCCUGCCGCUCGGCACAAUGACUCCGACUUCGGUCGGAGACCAAGCUCAUUGUGCCUCCGCGAGCUUCCAAAAAUCUGCAAACACCCCCGCCUCUAAGGGUGGCGGGAAGCAGUAGUCCCCUUCGACUUGUCCUGAGUUUAUCGAAGGACGAGAUCGGAGGAAAACUUGGCUGUAUGCUGGAAAACCCGAGUAUACGGCACUACCAACAUGAGGAGAACACGAUGGAUUCUAAGCAACUGGAAGGCUCCGAGUUUAUCCUCGGAGACAAAGUAAUUUGGCGGAAUCCUCCAGGUUUGGGGCAUUUCGCCAUAAAGUUGCGCAAGCAGCUGCUCGAGGAGCAAAUUGUCGAGCGUAUGCUUCGGCGACAGAGCGAAACUCAACGUGUUGGUGAAAAUGUGCCCGUUGCGGACAACCAGCAGGAAACGGCGGCAAAAAGCAAAUAGCCGACGGAUCCUCAGAGACUAUACGCCGAGCCCGCUCGUUGAAAAAUUUGCAACAAGGGUGAACAGAGAAAUCUUAGUAACCCACCAUUUUUCAAUGGCGGUGAUGAUAUAGUCCGAACUCAUGGGCGACCAUGAGAGCUGACCAGAAAUGCGUCAGCCGCAUCAUUGGAAUUUUUGACAUUUGAAUUUGUUUAGAAAUUAGAAAUUCGGAUUUAGAAAUUUCAAUUUUGUAGCAACAAAAUUGUAGAUACCCUUGUAGUCCACGCCCUAAAAGAUGCCUGUUAGCUGUUUCGAGUAUCGACCCUCGGAGUGGCGUAGCUAACGCGUUAAACAGGCCGCC